RNAcentral lists this ribosomal RNA (548 nucleotides) under uncultured soil bacterium. Its description in RNAcentral is "bacterial SSU rRNA". It matches the Rfam family "Bacterial small subunit ribosomal RNA", at positions 57 to 618 of the family's 1533-position model. The record is from RNAcentral.
GCAAGUCGAACGGUAAGGCCCCUUCGGGGGUACACGAGUGGCGAACGGGUGAGUAACACGUGAGCAACCUGCCCUUGACACUGGAAUAACAGUUGGAAACAGCUGCUAAUGCCAGAUAUGACCUUCGGUGGCAUCACCAGAAGGUGGAAAGUGCUUAGCGGUCAAGGAUGGGCUCGCGGCCUAUCAGCUUGUUGGUGAGGUAACGGCUCACCAAGGCUUCGACGGGUAGCCGGCCUGAGAGGGCGACCGGCCACACUGGGACUGAGAUACGGCCCAGACUCCUACGGGAGGCAGCAGUGGGGAAUAUUGCACAAUGGGCGCAAGCCUGAUGCAGCAACGCCGCGUGCGGGAUGACGGCCUUCGGGUUGUAAACCGCUUUCAGUUCAGACGAAGCGCAAGUGACGGUAGGAACAGAAGAAGGACCGGCCAACUACGUGCCAGCAGCCGCGGUGAUACGUAGGGUCCGAGCGUUGUCCGGAAUUAUUGGGCGUAAAGGGCUUGUAGGCGGUUUGUCACGUCGAAAGUGAAAACUCAGGGCUCAACCCUGA